RNAcentral lists this ribosomal RNA (465 nucleotides) under uncultured bacterium. RNAcentral describes it as "partial 16S ribosomal RNA". It matches the Rfam family "Bacterial small subunit ribosomal RNA", at positions 28 to 507 of the family's 1533-position model. The record is from RNAcentral.
GACGAACGCUGGCGGCGUGCUUAACACAUGCAAGUCGAACGGAAAGGCCCCUUUGGGGGUACUCGAGUGGCGAACGGGUGAGUAACACGUGAGUAACCUGCCCUUGACUUCGGGAUAACUUCAGGAAACUGGGGCUAAUACCGGAUAGGAAUCCUUGCUGCAUGGUGGGGGUUGGAAAGCUUCGGCGGUUUUGGAUGGACUCGCGGCUUAUCGGCUUGUUGGUGGGGUAGUGGCUUACCAAGGCUUUGACGGGUAGCCGGCCUGGGAGGGCGACCGGCCACAUUGGGACUGAGGUGCGGCCGAGACUGCGACGGGAGGCAGAAGGGGGGAAUAUUGAACAAUGGGCGGAGGGCGGAUGCAGCAAGGCCGCGUGCGGGAUGACGGCCUUCGGGUGGUAAACCGCUUUCAGCAGGGGCGAAGCUUGUGGUGACGGUACCUACAGAAGAAGCACCGGCUAACUACGUG